AUUGAACGCUGGCGGCAGGCCUAACACAUGCAAGUCGAACGGUAACAGGAAGCAGCUUGCUUCUUUGCUGACGCGUGGCGGACGGGUGAGUAAUGUCUGGGAAACUGCCCGAUGGAGGGGGAUAACUACUGGAAACGGUAGCUAAUACCGCAUAACGUCGCAAGACCAAAGAGGGGGACCUUAGGGCCUCUUGCCAUCGGGUGUGCCCAGAUGGGAUUAGCUAGUAGGUGGGGUAACGGCUCACCUAGGCGACGAUCCCUAGCUGGUCUGAGAGGAUGACCAGCCACACUGGAACUGAGACACGGUCCAGACUCCUACGGGAGGCAGCAGUGGGGAAUAUUGCACAAUGGGCGCAAGCCUGAUGCAGCCAUGCCGCGUGUAUGAAGAAGGCCUUCGGGUUGUAAAGUACUUUCAGCGGGGAGGAAGGGAGUAAAGUUAAUACCUUUGCUCAUUGACGUUACCCGCAGAAGAAGCACCGGCUAACUCCGUG
Molecule: ribosomal RNA, 490 nt
Filed under: uncultured bacterium
Lineage: Bacteria
Description: partial 16S ribosomal RNA
Rfam family: Bacterial small subunit ribosomal RNA
Source: RNAcentral